Molecule: ribosomal RNA, 402 nt
Filed under: uncultured bacterium
Lineage: Bacteria
Description: bacterial SSU rRNA
Rfam family: Bacterial small subunit ribosomal RNA
Source: RNAcentral
UCGGGAAUUUUGGGCAAUGGGCGAAAGCCUGACCCAGCAACGCCGCGUGAGGGAUGAAGUAUUUCGGUAUGUAAACCUCGAAAGAAUGGGAAGAAUAAAUGACGGUACCAUUUAUAAGCUCCGGCUAACUACGUGCCAGCAGCCGCGGUGAUACGUAGGGAGCAAGCGUUGUUCGGAUUUACUGGGCGUAAAGGGCGCGUAGGCGGCGCGGUAAGUCACUUGUGAAAUCUCUGAGCUUAACUCAGAACGGCCAAGUGAUACUGCUGUGCUAGAGUGCGGAAGAGGCAACCGGAAUUCUUGUUGUAGCGGUGAAAUGCGUAGAUAUCAAGAGGAACACCUGAGGCGAAGGCGGGUUGCUGGGCCGACACUGACGCUGAUGCGCGAAAGCCAGGGGAGCAAACG